GAUGAACGCUGGCGGCGUGCCUAAUACAUGCAAGUCGAGCGAACGGACGAGAAGCUUGCUUCUCUGAUGUUAGCGGCGGACGGGUGAGUAACACGUGGAUAACCUACCUAUAAGACUGGGAUAACUUCGGGAAACCGGAGCUAAUACCGGAUGAUAUUUUGAACCGCAUGGUUCAAAAGUGAAAGACGGUCUUGCUGUCACUUAUAGAUGGAUCCGCGCUGCAUUAGCUAGUUGGUAAGGUAACGGCUUACCAAGGCAACGAUGCAUAGCCGACCUGAGAGGGUGAUCGGCCACACUGGAACUGAGACACGGUCCAGACUCCUACAGGAGGCAGCAGUAGGGAAUCUUCCGCAAUGGGCGAGAGCCUGACCGAUCAACGCCGCGUGAGUGAUGAAGGUCUUCGGAUCGUAGAACUCUGUUAUUAGGGAAGAACAUAUGUGUGAGUAACUGUGCGCAUCUUGACGGUACCUAAUCAGAGAGCCACGGCUAAGUACGUGCCAUCAGCCGCGGUAAUACGUAGGUGGCAAGCGUUAUCCGGAAUUAUUGGGCGUACAGCGCGCGUAGCGGUUUUUUAGUCUGAUGUGAAAGCCCACGGCUCAACCGUAGAGGGUCAUUGGAAACUGGAAAACUUGAGUGCAGAAGAGGAAAGUGGAAUUCCAUGUGUAGCGGUGAAAUGCGCAGAGAUAUGGAGGAACACCAGUGGCGAAGGCGACUUUCUGGUCUGUAACUGACGCUGAUGUGCGAAAGCGUGGGGAUCAAACAGGAUUAGAUACCCUGGUAGUCCACGCCGUAAACGAUGAGUGCUAAGUGUUAGGGGGUUUCCGCCCCUUAGUGCUGCAGCUAACGCAUUAAGCACUCCGCCUGGGGAGUACGACCGCAAGGUUGAAGCUCAAAGGAAUUGACGGGGACCCGCACAAGCGGUGGAGCAUGUGGUUUAAUUCGAAGCAACGCGAAGAACCUUACCAAAUCUUGACAUCCUUUGACAACUCUAGAGAUAGAGCCUUCCCCUUCGGGGGACAAAGUGACAGGUGGUGCAUGGUUGUCGUCAGCUCGUGUCGUGAGAUGUUGGGUUAAGUCCCGCAACGAGCGCAACCCUUAAGCUUAGUUGCCAUCAUUAAGUUGGGCACUCUAAGUUGACUGCCGGUGACAAACCGGAGGAAGGUGGGGAUGACGUCAAAUCAUCAUGCCCCUUAUGAUUUGGGCUACACACGUGCUACAAUGGACAAUACAAAGGGCAGCGAAACCGCGAGGUCAAGCAAAUCCCAUAAAGUUGUUCUCAGUUCGGAUUGUAGUCUGCAACUCGACUACAUGAAGCUGGAAUCGCUAGUAAUCGUAGAUCAGCAUGCUACGGUGAAUACGUUCCCGGGUCU
RNAcentral lists this ribosomal RNA (1370 nucleotides) under uncultured bacterium. Its description in RNAcentral is "bacterial SSU rRNA". It matches the Rfam family "Bacterial small subunit ribosomal RNA", at positions 28 to 1381 of the family's 1533-position model. The record is from RNAcentral.